UACAGAGGGUGCGAGCGUUAAUCGGAAUUACUGGGCGUAAAGCGCGCGUAGGCGGCUUUGCAAGUCGGGUGUGAAAUCCCCAGGCUUAACCUGGGAACUGCAUUCGAUACUGUCAGGCUAGAGGUAGGUAGGGGAGAUCGGAAUUCCUGGUGUAGCGGUGAAAUGCGCAGAUAUCAGGAGGAACACCGGUGGCGAAGGCGGAUCUCUGGGCCUUACCUGACGCUCAGGCGCGAAAGCUAGGGGAGCGAACAGG
Molecule: ribosomal RNA, 253 nt
Filed under: uncultured bacterium
Lineage: Bacteria
Description: partial 16S ribosomal RNA
Rfam family: Bacterial small subunit ribosomal RNA
Source: RNAcentral